RNAcentral lists this ribosomal RNA (253 nucleotides) under uncultured bacterium. RNAcentral's name for it is "partial 16S ribosomal RNA". It matches the Rfam family "Bacterial small subunit ribosomal RNA", at positions 524 to 776 of the family's 1533-position model. The record is from RNAcentral.
UACGUAGGGUGCAGGCGUUAAUCGGAAUUACUGGGCGUAAAGCGUGCGCAGGCGGUCUUUUAAGUCAGAUGUGAAAUCCCCGGGCUUAACCUGGGAACUGCGUUUGAAACUGGAAGGCUAGAGUGUGGCAGAGGGGGGUGGAAUUCCACGUGUAGCAGUGAAAUGCGUAGAGAUGUGGAGAAACACCGAUGGCGAAGGCAGCCCCCUGGGCUAACACUGACGCUCAUGCACGAAAGCGUGGGGAGCAAACAGG